This 544-nucleotide ribosomal RNA is filed under the name uncultured bacterium. RNAcentral describes it as "bacterial SSU rRNA". It matches the Rfam family "Bacterial small subunit ribosomal RNA", at positions 777 to 1319 of the family's 1533-position model. The record is from RNAcentral.
AAUAGAUACCCGGGUAGUCCACGCCGUAAACGAUGAAUGCUAGGUGUUAGGGGUUUCGAUACCCUUGGUGCCGAAGUUAACACAUUAAGCAUUCCGCCUGGGGAGUACGGCCGCAAGGCUGAAACUCAAAGGAAUUGACGGGGACCCGCACAAGCAGUGGAGUAUGUGGUUUAAUUCGAAGCAACGUGAAGAACCUUACCAGGUCUUGACAUCCCCCUGACCGGUACAGAGAUGUACCUUUCCUUCGGGACAGGGGAGACAGGUGGUGCAUGGUUGUCGUCAGCUCGUGUCGUGAGAUGUUGGGUUAAGUCCCGCAACGAGCGCAACCCUUGACUUUAGUUGCCAGCAAGUAAGGUUGGGCACUCUAGAGUGACUGCCGGUGACAAACCGGAGGAAGGUGGGGAUGACGUCAAAUCAUCAUGCCCCUUAUGACCUGGGCUACACACGUACUACAAUGGCCGGUACAACGGGAAGCGAAGGAGCGAUCUGGAGCGAAUCCUAUAAAGCCGGUCUCAGUUCGGAUUGCAGGCUGCAACUCGCCUGC